This is a long non-coding RNA of Colias croceus (clouded yellow), 413 nucleotides long. RefSeq lists it as uncharacterized. NCBI's taxonomy places the organism in Eukaryota, Metazoa, Arthropoda, Insecta, Lepidoptera, Pieridae. The transcript has 3 exons. The record is from RefSeq and is a predicted model, not a curated record.
UUUUGAAGUAAAUACAUUCUAUAGUUUAACACUAUCCCAACUAGCAUACCUAAAUUCUUGGACUGCAGGUGGCUAUGAGAAGAUUAGAAUACACUGUGAGGAUACCAUAGUAUAUUCAGAAGAAAGUCCAGAUAAAUCUAUACAGUUGCUACUAUGGAAUGAUAAUUUGAUAGGUCCAAACCCGUCUCCCCACACUCCAGUAUAUUAUAAAGUUACCAAAGAUUUGUGCAAGAAGGAAGAAAAGUAUACGGAAUUAGAAGUGUCAUCAGUGACGAGUACGCGCUUACCAAUUGUAGAUUUUUACAUCAGAGACAGUAUAAAAUUUGCUAAAAUAUCUGUAGAGCUGUUGGAACUUUGUUUUAACUUUGAACUUCCACCUGAAUAAAGCUAAUUGUUCAUACGUUGUGCGAAAU